Molecule: ribosomal RNA, 585 nt
Filed under: Fusarium sp. 1 TMS-2011
Lineage: Eukaryota; Fungi; Ascomycota; Sordariomycetes; Hypocreales; Nectriaceae
Also listed under: 1 other name
Description: eukaryotic LSU rRNA
Rfam family: 5.8S ribosomal RNA (bases 218-371)
Source: RNAcentral
UCUUGGUCAUUUAGAGGAAGUAAAAGUCGUAACAAGGUCUCCGUUGGUGAACCAGCGGAGGGAUCAUUACCGAGUUUACAACUCCCAAACCCCUGUGAACAUACCUUAUGUUGCCUCGGCGGAUCAGCCCGCGCCCCGUAAAAAGGGACGGCCCGCCGCAGGAACCCUAAACUCUGUUUUUAGUGGAACUUCUGAGUAUAAAAAACAAAUAAAUCAAAACUUUCAACAACGGAUCUCUUGGUUCUGGCAUCGAUGAAGAACGCAGCAAAAUGCGAUAAGUAAUGUGAAUUGCAGAAUUCAGUGAAUCAUCGAAUCUUUGAACGCACAUUGCGCCCGCCAGUAUUCUGGCGGGCAUGCCUGUUCGAGCGUCAUUUCAACCCUCAAGCCCAGCUUGGUGUUGGGAGCUGCAGUCCUGCUGCACUCCCCAAAUACAUUGGCGGUCACGUCGAGCUUCCAUAGCGUAGUAAUUUACACAUCGUUACUGGUAAUCGUCGCGGCCACGCCGUUAAACCCCAACUUCUGAAUGUUGACCUCGGAUCAGGUAGGAAUACCCGCUGAACUUAAGCAUAUCAAUAAGCGGAGGAA